GAUGAACGCUGGCGGCGUGCCUAAUACAUGCAAGUCGAGCGAACGGACGAGAAGCUUGCUUUUCUGAUGUUAGCGGCGGACGGGUGAGUAACACGUGGAUAACCUACCUAUAAGACUGGGAUAACUUCGGGAAACCGGAGCUAAUACCGGAUAAUAUUUUGAACCGCAUGGUUCAAAAGUGAAAGACGGUCUUGCUUUCACUUAUAGAUGGAUCCGCGCUGCAUUAGCUAGUUGGUAAGGUAACGGCUUACCAAGGCAACGAUGCAUAGCCGACCUCAGAGGGUGGUCGGACACACGGGAACUGAGACACGGUCCAGACUCCUACGGGAGGCAGCAGUAGGGAAUCUUCCGCAAUGGGCGAAAGCCUGACGGAGCAACGCCGCGUGAGUGAUGAAGGUCUUCGGAUCGUAAAACUCUGUUAUUAGGGAAGAACAUAUGUGUAAGUAACUGUGCACAUCUUGACGGUACCUAAUCAGAAAGCCACGGCUAACUACGUG
This 497-nucleotide ribosomal RNA is filed under the name uncultured bacterium. RNAcentral's name for it is "partial 16S ribosomal RNA". It matches the Rfam family "Bacterial small subunit ribosomal RNA", at positions 28 to 507 of the family's 1533-position model. The record is from RNAcentral.